GUGCGCGCACCGACUGGAUUCGGUAGAGAGCAUUUUACUUGGAAGUUCUCAAGAGACUCAAACGAAGAUUAAUCGGGUCUGAAAAGAAAUCGACUUUCGUGUGAACAACUUCCGCAGCCGCCAUACAGUCCAGAUGUAAUUAUGCCGCUAAAGGAUAAGUCUUCCCGACGAUUUAAAAUACAGCUAUAGUGAAAGAAGAAGAAGAGCGUGUUGUGAAGCCAUCAAAAGUGGAUAACUUCUGCCAGCUGUAUAUUCGCAUACCUUACCUCCUCACACACCGACCAACCGAUUACUUAUAUCAACAAAGUUGAUGCGAAUAUAAUCGCUUGCAUUACGUUUUUGCGAUUGUCAAUGGUCGUACAUCAGCAGUGGGGGUUUUGAUUUCUGUAAAGACCAAUCUGGACCUGGUGUCUGACCAUUUGUCAAUGAUGAUCCAGCAAGCGGACGGCUACUGUUAUAUUGUGCUGCCGGUAGCAGCUUCUACCACAAAUUUUCCGUUUUCAUUUUACUAUAUGAACGAGUUAUGAUAUGUCUGAAUAUGAUGGUGCCCAUCAGUGACUUUAUGUUCCUUUCCAUUUGUUAUAAAGGCGCACUUCUUUAAGAUCAAUUAUUAAACAUGUGACAAAGGCAACGGAAGCUGUUAGUGAAGCCUUAGCCCCAUACAAAGCUGCUGUCGAUGCAGCUUCGAUGUUUGAUGAACAUUUACUACUCAAUUGCAAAUCACAUGCUGAACAACAACCGCAAGUCCGGAGCUGUAUCCCAAUCGUCGCGGCGAAGUGGUGCAAGGCUCCUACUGUGAUCAUGCAAUCUCCCCCAUAUCCUGGUCUAUAUCCGCAUGAACUGAACUGUCGUUAUAAAUUGCUUAUGCGUCAGCCAUAUAUAAAACUGAAUUGUAGAUUAAGCAGUUUGCCGUGGAUGGACAGAGGUGUGAGAACGUCAUGACUUGUCCCAUACGACUAAUUGGUUCCGGCAAGGAGCACUGCAACUUCGAUUGGCCUGCAGUCUACUCGUACAAUGGUCGUGAUGUGCAUUCGCCACUUAUUGGCAAAUUUUGUUUGCUGCCAAAAUUUCCUUUUGGCAUUAUUGGUUCUACACAACAAAAUCUGAUAGGUUUUAUGUGAUGAACGGGAAAAUAUUAAAAAAAAUGAAAAGAGUUAGAAAGGAUUAUAUUAAUUGUUACCAACAGAAGUGAUAUGCCGGCAGAGUGGUCCUAUGGUCACACAUUGGAAAGGCUCAUAAAACACACUUGAUUUUUUGUCCUUUACUUAAGCUAUUAUGAUAAAAUGGAUAAGUAAAUUCCCUCUCGGCUAAAGAGGAUUUGAAGCUCUUUGACAAUUUUUGGAAUC
Molecule: long non-coding RNA, 1346 nt
Organism: Bactrocera tryoni
Lineage: Eukaryota; Metazoa; Arthropoda; Insecta; Diptera; Tephritidae
Exons: 6
Source: RefSeq, a predicted model, not a curated record